This 347-nucleotide ribosomal RNA is filed under the name uncultured bacterium. Its description in RNAcentral is "bacterial SSU rRNA". It matches the Rfam family "Bacterial small subunit ribosomal RNA", at positions 449 to 793 of the family's 1533-position model. The record is from RNAcentral.
UACGUUAAUAGCGUAUGGAUUUGAGUUAGCUGCAGAAGAAGCACCGGCUAACUCCGUGCCAGCAGCCGCGGUAAUACGGAGGGUGCGAGCGUUAAUCGGAAUUACUGGGGCGUAAAGCGCAUGCAGGUGGUUUGUUAAGUCAGAUGUGAAAGCCCGGGGCUCAACCUCGGAAUUGCAUUUGAAACUGGCAGACUAGAGUACUGUAGAGGGGGUAGAAUUUCAGGUGUAGCGGUGAAAUGCGUAGAGAUCUGAAGGAAUACCGGUGGCGAAGGCGGCCCCCUGGACAGAUACUGACACUCAGAUGCGAAAGCGUGGGGAGCCAAAACAGGAUUAGAUACCCCUGGUAG